AGUGAACGCUGGCGGUAUGCCUAACACAUGCAAGUCGAACGGCAGCACAGUAAUUUCUUUCUCUUACGGUUUUCGAGUGUCGUACGGGUGAUGUAUACAUCGGAAUCUACUUUUUCGUGGGUGAUAACGUAGGGUAACUUACUCUAAUACCUCAUACGACCUACUGUUUAAAGCAGUGGUUCUUCGUACCUUUCGCGUUUGUAUUAGCCGAUGUCGGAUUAGCUAGUUGGCGGGGUAAAGUCCCACCAAGGCGACGAUCCGUAGCUGGUCUGAGAGGAUGAUCAGAAACACUGGAACUGAGACACGGUCCAGACGACGACGGGAGGAAGCAGUGGGGAAUAUGGGACAAUGGGGGCAAGCAUGAUAAAGCAAGACCGCGUGGGUGAAGAAGGACUUCGGGUUGUAAAGAACUUUUGUUGGGAAAGAAAAGAAGCAGGUGAAUAACACGAUGGAAUGACGGUACCGAAAGAAUAAGCAACGGCUAACUUCGUG
RNAcentral lists this ribosomal RNA (492 nucleotides) under uncultured bacterium. RNAcentral's name for it is "partial 16S ribosomal RNA". It matches the Rfam family "Bacterial small subunit ribosomal RNA", at positions 29 to 507 of the family's 1533-position model. The record is from RNAcentral.